This 281-nucleotide ribosomal RNA is filed under the name uncultured bacterium. RNAcentral's name for it is "partial 16S ribosomal RNA". It matches the Rfam family "Bacterial small subunit ribosomal RNA", at positions 334 to 632 of the family's 1533-position model. The record is from RNAcentral.
UGGGCCUACGGGGCGCAGCAGUCGGGAACAUUGCGCAAUGGAGGAAACUCUGACGCAGUGACGCCGCGUAUAGGAAGAAGGCUUUCGGAUUGUAAACUAUUGUCGUGAGGGAAGAAAUUGACAGUACCUCAGGAGGAAGCUCCGGCUAACUAUGUGCCAGCAGCCGCGGUAAUACAUAGGGAGCAAGCGUUAUCCGGAUUUAUUGGGUGUAAAGGGGGCGCAGACGGCGAUGCAAGCCAGGAGUGAAAGCCCGGGGCCCAAACCCGGGACUGCUCUUGGAA